GACGUAGGGGACGAGCGUUGUCCGGAUUCAUUGGGCGUAAAGAGCGUGUAGGCGGCCCGAUAAGUCCGCCGUGAAAGCCCAGGGCUCAACCCUGGGAUGCCGGUGGAUACUGUCGGGCUAGAAUCCGGAAGAGGCGAGUGGAAUUCCUGGUGUAGCGGUGAAAUGCGCAGAUAUCAGGAGGAACACCGAUGGCGAAGGCAGCACUCUGGGACGUGACUGACGCUGAGACGCGAAAGCGUGGGGAGCAAACAGG
Molecule: ribosomal RNA, 253 nt
Filed under: uncultured bacterium
Lineage: Bacteria
Description: partial 16S ribosomal RNA
Rfam family: Bacterial small subunit ribosomal RNA
Source: RNAcentral